UGAGAAGCUUCGACUAAGGUUCGAUUCGAGCGAAAGCGAGAAAGCGUUGCCGCAGGCAACGACCCGAAGGGCGAAACGCGCAGCGCUGAGUCAUCCUUCCCCCACCACCA
This 110-nucleotide small RNA is filed under the name Salmonella enterica subsp. enterica serovar Infantis. RNAcentral's name for it is "partial RtT sRNA". It matches the Rfam family "RtT RNA", at positions 23 to 130 of the family's 130-position model. Rfam says of the family: This family represents a bacterial cis-regulatory element known as RtT RNA. Lineage: Bacteria; Pseudomonadati; Pseudomonadota; Gammaproteobacteria; Enterobacterales; Enterobacteriaceae. RNAcentral also lists the same sequence under 3 other names. The record is from RNAcentral.